Molecule: unclassified non-coding RNA, 392 nt
Filed under: soil metagenome
Description: partial contains 5.8S ribosomal RNA, internal transcribed spacer 2, and large subunit ribosomal RNA
Rfam family: 5.8S ribosomal RNA (bases 1-122)
Source: RNAcentral
GAUGGAGAACGUAGCGAAAUGCGAUACUUGGUGUGAAUUGCAGAAUCCCGUGAACCAUCGAGUCUUUGAACGCAAGUUGCGCCCGAAGCCAUCAGGUUGAGGGCACGUCUGCCUGGGCGUCACAUAUCGUUGCUCGAUGCCUAUCGCAUUGCGAUAGGACUUAGGGCGAAUGAUGGCUUCCCGUGAGCGUUGUUGCCUCGCGGUUGGUUGAAAAUCGAGUCCUUGGUAGGGUGUGCCAUGAUAGAUGGUGGUCGAGUUAGCACGAGUCCGAUCAUGUGCAUGCUCCCCAAAAUAUGGCCUCUGUGACCCACACGCGUCUUUUGACGAUCAUGACGAGACCUCAGGUCAGGCGGGGCUACCCGCUGAAUUUAAGCAUAUCAAUAAGCGGAGGA